GGUUUUAUUGUCUAAUGGUUACCAUUCUGGACUUUAAAUCCAGUAGUCUGAGUUCAAAUCUAAGUAGAACCU
This 72-nucleotide transfer RNA is filed under the name Oryzias latipes (Japanese medaka). It matches the Rfam family "tRNA". From Rfam's summary of the family: Transfer RNA (tRNA) molecules are approximately 80 nucleotides in length. Their secondary structure includes four short double-helical elements and three loops (D, anti-codon, and T loops). Further hydrogen bonds mediate the characteristic L-shaped molecular structure. tRNAs have two regions of fundamental functional importance: the anti-codon, which is responsible for specific mRNA codon recognition, and the 3' end, to which the tRNAs corresponding amino acid is attached (by aminoacyl-tRNA synthetases). tRNAs cope with the degeneracy of the genetic code in two manners: having more than one tRNA (with a specific anti-codon) for a particular amino acid; and 'wobble' base-pairing, i.e. permitting non-standard base-pairing at the 3rd anti-codon position. The record is from Rfam by way of RNAcentral. Lineage: Eukaryota; Metazoa; Chordata; Actinopteri; Beloniformes; Adrianichthyidae.